AGAGAUGUGUGAUGACGCAUAUCAAUAAGCGGAGGAAAAGAAACUAACAAGGAUUCCCUUAGUAACGGCGAGUGAAGCGGGAAGAGCUCAAAUUUGAAAUCUUCAAGGUUCUACCUUGACGAAUUGUAGUUUAUAGAAGUGUUUUCUGUUAGUAGGAGUGGCAAAAGUUCUUUGGAAUAGGACAUCAUAGAGGGUGAGAAUCCCGUAUUUGGUCAUUCCUUCUAGCGUUGUGAUACACUUUCAAAGAGUCGGAUUGUUUGGGAAUGCAGUCCAAAAUGGGUGGUAAAUUUCAUCUAAAGCUAAAUAUUGGCGAGAGACCGAUAGCGAACAAGUACCGUGAGGGAAAGAUGAAAAGAACUUUGAAAAGAGAGUUAAACAGUACGUGAAAUUGUCAAAAGGGAAGCGUUUGACACCAGUGUUGUUUUUCCGAAAAUCAAUUACGAAUGUUUUAGUUUUUAAGAAGUUAUGACUUCAUCGGCUUGCUUCUCUCUUUACGAAACUUUCUUAAUGCACUUUUCGGUUAACAAGUCAACAUCAAUUUCUUUUGUUGUAAAAGGGUACGAGGAAGGUGGCUUUCUUUUCGGAUGAAAGUGUUUAUAGCCUUGUACCUCUGCAAUCGGAGAGAUUGAGGUCUGCAGCGUAGAUCCUUCGGGGUUAGAUACAUUUGUGCUAAGUUAUAGCUUUUCAUAGACAACUUGUUGACUAUGUUAAGUCUUGUAGCUUACUCGCUUAUGCUAUUUUACCUACGCUUAGGAUGUUGACGAUCAGCUGAGCGCG
This 777-nucleotide ribosomal RNA is filed under the name uncultured Neocallimastigales. Its description in RNAcentral is "partial large subunit ribosomal RNA". It matches the Rfam family "Eukaryotic large subunit ribosomal RNA", at positions 23 to 648 of the family's 3401-position model. The record is from RNAcentral. Lineage: Eukaryota; Fungi; Neocallimastigomycota; Neocallimastigomycetes; Neocallimastigales.